CCUGUAGACUCCUACGGGAGGCAGCAGUGAGGAAUAUUGGUCAAUGGACGGAAGUCUGAACCAGCCAAGUAGCGUGCAGGAUGACGGCCCUAUGGGUUGUAAACUGCUUUUGUAUGGGGAUAAAGUUAGGGACGUGUCCCUAUUUGCAGGUACCAUACGAAUAAGGACCGGCUAAUUCCGUGCCAGCAGCCGCGGUAAUACGGAAGGUCCAGGCGUUAUCCGGAUUUAUUGGGUUUAAGGGGAGCGUAGGCUGGGGAUUAAGUGUGUUGUGAAAUGUAGACGCUCAACGUCUGAAUUGCAGCGCAGACUGGUUUCCUUGAGGACGCACGACGUUGGCGGAAUUCGGCGUGUAGCGGUGAAAUGCUUAGAUAUGACGAAGAACUCCGAUUGCGAAGGCAGCUGACGGGAGCGCAACUGACGCUUAAGCUCGAAGGUGCGGGUAUCGAACAGGAUUAGAUACCCUAGUCCAGAGAA
This 474-nucleotide ribosomal RNA is filed under the name uncultured bacterium. Its description in RNAcentral is "bacterial SSU rRNA". It matches the Rfam family "Bacterial small subunit ribosomal RNA", at positions 328 to 802 of the family's 1533-position model. The record is from RNAcentral.